RNAcentral lists this unclassified non-coding RNA (472 nucleotides) under uncultured Glomus. Its description in RNAcentral is "SSU rRNA". It matches the Rfam family "Eukaryotic small subunit ribosomal RNA", at positions 569 to 1045 of the family's 1831-position model. Lineage: Eukaryota; Fungi; Glomeromycota; Glomeromycetes; Glomerales; Glomeraceae. The record is from RNAcentral.
AGCAGCCGCGGUAAUUCCAGCUCCAAUAGCGUAUAUUAAAGUUGUUGCAGUUAAAAAGCUCGUAGUUGAAUUUCGGGGUUAGCAGGUCGGUCGUGCCAUUGGUAUGAACUGGUCUCGCUGAUCCCUCCCUCUUGACGAACUGUGAUGCCAUUAAUUUGGUGUCGCAGGGAAUCAGGACUGUUACUUUGAAGAAAUUAGAGUGUUUAAAGCAGGCUCACGCUUGAAUACAUUAGCAUGGAAUAAUGAAAUAGGACGUUUGAUCCUAUUUUGUUGGCUUCUAGGAUUGACGUAAUGAUUAAUAGGGAUAGUUGGGGGCAUUAGUAUUCAAUUGUCAGAGGUGAAAUUCUUGGAUUUAUUGAAGACUAACUACUGCGAAAGCAUUUGCCAAGGAUGUUUUCAUUAAUCAAGAACGAAAGUUAGGGGAUCGAAGACGAUCAGAUACCGUCGUAGUCUUAACCAUAAACUAUGCCGA